CCCGUAACGAGCGCAACCCUUGUCCUUAGUUACCAGCACGUCAUGGUGGGCACUCUAAGGAGACUGCCGGUGACAAACCGGAGGAAGGUGGGGAUGACGUCAAGUCAUCAUGGCCCUUACGGCCUGGGCUACACACGUGCUACAAUGGUCGGUACAGAGGGUUGCCAAGCCGCGAGGUGGAGCUAAUCUCACAAAACCGAUCGUAGUCCGGAUCGCAGUCUGCAACUCGACUGCGUGAAGUCGGAAUCGCUAGUAAUCGCGAAUCAGAAUGUCGCGGUGAAUACGUU
Molecule: ribosomal RNA, 287 nt
Filed under: Pseudomonas sp. July_KB1B4
Lineage: Bacteria; Pseudomonadati; Pseudomonadota; Gammaproteobacteria; Pseudomonadales; Pseudomonadaceae
Description: partial 16S ribosomal RNA
Rfam family: Bacterial small subunit ribosomal RNA
Source: RNAcentral